This 582-nucleotide long non-coding RNA is filed under the name Homo sapiens (human). RNAcentral's name for it is "HSALNT0257893". The record is from RNAcentral. Lineage: Eukaryota; Metazoa; Chordata; Mammalia; Primates; Hominidae.
AGACUGCACAGAAAGCACCCCGGCCCCUUCUGGGGAUGUGUGCCAUACUCAUGGUGCAGCUCUGCAGCCUCCUCCUGAAAGCACUUCCUCCAGAGAUCCUGUGCUGAUGAAACAGACUUGUGAAUAUGGCUCCUGAUCCACAGGAUGCAACCUGAACCACAGAAAAUGCUGAGUUCUCCAGAGGCUGUCUUCGUGCCCUGCCUGUUUCCCUUAAGUGUUCAAUGUGUGCUGAUGGCUUCCUGCUGUGAGGGCCUGAGACUGUCCCUGGAGAGCUUCCUAAGAAACAUCAGGGUUCUCACUCAGGGCGGGCAGGAAGCGCUGAGGAGCUGAUGCCUUAAGAACGACCUUCAGCCAAUGAUGGGAAGGACUGAAGGUUGAGCGCAGCAGACUCCUUCCCUCAGGAGGCACAGCUCUGUGGCCUGGGCUCCACAGGGUCCUCUGGAGUUCUGCCUGAGCCCCGCUGUCCACAGCAGUGAUUGGCUCUUUAAUAAGCAGUGUCUUCUCUCUCCUCCCUCUGCCUCUUCACCCUUCUCAACUGCGCUUUCUGGGUUCAUCUCCUGAAUAAACACUUGUUCUAAAAUC